UUUAUGGAGAGUUUGAUCCUGGCUCAGGAUGAACGCUGGCGGCGUGCCUAAUACAUGCAAGUCGAGCGAACGGACGAGAAACUUGCUUCUCUGAUGUUAGCGGCGGACGGGUGAGUAACACGUGGAUAACCUACCUAUAAGACUGGGAUAACUUCGGGAAACCGGAGCUAAUACCGGAUAAUAUUUUGAACCGCAUGGUUC
This 201-nucleotide ribosomal RNA is filed under the name Staphylococcus aureus. RNAcentral's name for it is "partial 16S ribosomal RNA". It matches the Rfam family "Bacterial small subunit ribosomal RNA", at positions 1 to 196 of the family's 1533-position model. Lineage: Bacteria; Bacillati; Bacillota; Bacilli; Caryophanales; Staphylococcaceae. The record is from RNAcentral.